This is a non-coding RNA of Ceratotherium simum simum (southern white rhinoceros), 209 nucleotides long. NCBI's taxonomy places the organism in Eukaryota, Metazoa, Chordata, Mammalia, Perissodactyla, Rhinocerotidae. The record is from RefSeq and is a predicted model, not a curated record.
CAGGGCCAUUGUUUGCCAGCCCCUGGUCUAAGAAAAUAGUCGAUAAACAGAUAUAUAUAGCCAAUGAAUGGUUCAUUAUGUACUCAUUAAAAUUAGUAAUGAGUAUAAUGAAAAACAUGAGAAAAUAUUAUAUUAAGUUAUAAAAAAGCAAGAUACAAAGUGUAUGAAUGGUUAUGAUCAUGGCUGUAAAUAACACACCAAGCAUAUAA